UUCGAUGACACGACGUAAACCUUACCUACCUUGACAUCGCCGACGGAACCCUGCUGAGAGGUGGGGUGCUCGAAAGAGAGCCUGGACACAGGUGCUGCAUGGCUGUCGUCAGCUCGUGUCGUGAGAUGUUGGGUUAAGUCCCGCAACGAGCGCAACCCUUGUCAUUAGUUGCCAUCAUUUAGUUGGGCACUCUAAUGAGACUGCCGGUGACAAACCGGAGGAAGGUGGGGAUGACGUCAAGUCCUCAUGGCCCUUAUGGGUAGGGCUUCACACGUCAUACAAUGGUCGGUACAGAGGGUUGCCAAGCCGCGAGGUGGAGCCAAUCCCAGAAAGCCGAUCGUAGUCCGGAUCGUAGUCUGCAACUCGACUACGUGAAGUCGGAAUCGCUAGUAAUCGUGGAUCAGAAUGUCACGGUGAAUACGUUCCCGGGUCUU
This 434-nucleotide ribosomal RNA is filed under the name uncultured Rhodocyclaceae bacterium. RNAcentral's name for it is "bacterial SSU rRNA". It matches the Rfam family "Bacterial small subunit ribosomal RNA", at positions 950 to 1382 of the family's 1533-position model. Lineage: Bacteria; Pseudomonadati; Pseudomonadota; Betaproteobacteria; Rhodocyclales; Rhodocyclaceae. The record is from RNAcentral.